RNAcentral lists this ribosomal RNA (831 nucleotides) under uncultured bacterium. RNAcentral's name for it is "bacterial SSU rRNA". It matches the Rfam family "Bacterial small subunit ribosomal RNA", at positions 60 to 904 of the family's 1533-position model. The record is from RNAcentral.
AGUCGAACGAGAGAGAAGGAGCUUGCUUCUUCGAUCGAGUGGCGAACGGGUGAGUAACGCGUGAGGAACCUGCCUCAAAGAAGGGGACAACAGUUGGAAACGACUGCUAAUACCGCAUAAGCCCACGGGUCGGCAUCGACCUGAGGGAAAGGGAGUGAUCCGCUUUGAGAUGGCCUCGCGUCCGAUUAACUAGUUGGUGAGGUAAUGGCCCACCAAGGCGACGAUCGGUAGCCGGACUGAGAGGUUGAACGGCCACAUUGGGACUGAGACACGGCCCAGACUCCUACGGGAGGCAGCAGUGGGGAAUAUUGCACAAUGGGGGAAACCCUGAUGCAGCGACGCCGCGUGGAGGAAGAAGGUCUUCGGAUUGUAAACUCCUGUUGUUGAGGAAGAUAAUGACGGUACUCAACAAGGAAGUGACGGCUAACUACGUGCCAGCAGCCGCGGUAAAACGUAGGUCACAAGCGUUGUCCGGAAUUACUGGGUGUAAAGGGAGCGCAGGCGGGAAGACAAGUUGGAAGUGAAAUCUAUGGGCUCAACCCAUAAACUGCUUUCAAAACUGUUUUUCUUGAGUAGUGCAGAGGUAGGCGGAAUUCCCGGUGUAGCGGUGGAAUGCGUAGAUAUCGGGAGGAACACCAGUGGCGAAGGCGGCCUACUGGGCACCAACUGACGCUGAGGCUCGAAAGUGUGGGUAGCAAACAGGAUUAGAUACCCUGGUAGUCCACACCGUAAACGAUGAUUACUAGGUGUUGGAGGAUUGACCCCUUCAGUGCCGCAGUUAACACAAUAAGUAAUCCACCUGGGGAGUACGACCGCAAGGUUGAAACUCAA